AGAGCGAACGCUGGCGGCAGGCCUAACACAUGCAAGUCGAACGGACUCUUCGGAGUUAGUGGCGGACGGGUGAGUAACACGUGGGAACGUGCCUUUAGGUUCGGAAUAGCUCCUGGAAACGGGUGGUAAUACCGAAUGUGCCCUUCGGGGGAAAGAUUUAUCGCCUUUAGAGCGGCCCGCGUCUGAUUAGCUUGUUGGUGAGGUAAUGGCUCACCAAGGCUACGAUCAGUAGCUGGUCUGAGAGGAUGACCAGCCACAGUUGGGACUGAGACACGGCCCAAACUCCGUACGGGAGCAGCAGUGGGAAUCGUGCGACAAGUGGGACGAAAGCCUAGACGCAGCCAUGCCGCGUGUAUGAUGAAGGUCUUAGGAUUAGUAAAAUACUUUCACGGUAGAAGAUAAG
RNAcentral lists this ribosomal RNA (403 nucleotides) under uncultured soil bacterium. Its description in RNAcentral is "bacterial SSU rRNA". It matches the Rfam family "Bacterial small subunit ribosomal RNA", at positions 26 to 452 of the family's 1533-position model. The record is from RNAcentral.